This 224-nucleotide long non-coding RNA is filed under the name Lathyrus oleraceus (garden pea). Its description in RNAcentral is "Pisum sativum (pea) long non-coding RNA (PSAT_LNC000035)". The record is from RNAcentral. Lineage: Eukaryota; Viridiplantae; Streptophyta; Magnoliopsida; Fabales; Fabaceae.
AAAUAAUCCUUAAGCAACUUAGAACAAAACAUAAGACAAAGAUCAUAACAAAGUAACAAUUAGGCAUAAAGACAAAAUAGCAGAUAAAGCAAAGAGACCAAAGUCUUUCAAUAGAUGAAAGUCACUUGUCAAGAAUAGCUCAGUCUCAGAUGUUGGCAUUGGCCAAGUCCUUCAGCACAGGGAAUGUUGCCUAGUUCUAAGUCCAAAAAGUUCAUAUCAAGUCC